Molecule: ribosomal RNA, 107 nt
Filed under: Scophthalmus maximus (turbot)
Lineage: Eukaryota; Metazoa; Chordata; Actinopteri; Pleuronectiformes; Scophthalmidae
Source: RNAcentral
GGCCACACCGCCUGGUUCACGCCCGAUCUCGCUUUGAUCUCGGAAGCUAAGAUAGGUUGGGCCUGGUUAGUACUUGGAUGGGAGACCGCCUGGGAAUACCAGGUGCU